CUGCCCUUCAGGGGAGAACAACUCAUCGAAAGGUGAGCUAAAUCUCCGUAAUGUUUUACUAUGGCAUCAUAGUUCAACCAAGUUUUCUGAGGGAUGAGCCUGCGUCUGAUUAGCUAGUUGGUGAGGUAACUGCUCACCAAGGCUACGAUCAGUAGCUGGUCUGAGAGGAUGAUCAGCCACAUUGGGACUGAGACACGGCCCAG
This 203-nucleotide ribosomal RNA is filed under the name uncultured bacterium. RNAcentral's name for it is "partial 16S ribosomal RNA". It matches the Rfam family "Bacterial small subunit ribosomal RNA", at positions 126 to 334 of the family's 1533-position model. The record is from RNAcentral.